This 207-nucleotide ribosomal RNA is filed under the name uncultured bacterium. RNAcentral describes it as "partial 16S ribosomal RNA". It matches the Rfam family "Bacterial small subunit ribosomal RNA", at positions 568 to 774 of the family's 1533-position model. The record is from RNAcentral.
CGCGUAGGCGGCCUUGCGUGUCUUUCGUGAAAUCCCUCGGCUUAACUGAGGACGUGCGGAAGAAACUGCAGGGCUGGAGUCCGGGAGAGGGGGGUGGAAUUCCCAGUGUAGCGGUGAAAUGCGUAGAUAUUGGGAGGAACACCGGUGGCGAAGGCGGCCCCCUGGACCGGUACUGACGCUGAGGCGCGAAAGCGUGGGUAGCAAACG